UCCACAGCCAGACACAACCAUCAACCCUUAUGACACCCAGAAAAUCGCAGUUUUAAUCUAAAUUAUACACACGUCUAGAAGCAAACAGACACGUAUGAGACCGCAGACUCUGAAAUGAUUCUGGCUUGGUUUUUUUGCAUCUUUGUGGAUUUUGUGGUUGUCUUCUCUGAGCUUCAGAGCGUCUUUACCGGCACUUGAUCCGUGAAGAGCUCUCUGCUCCAUCUUCAGCUGCCUGAGACGUGAACCCCAGAAAGACUCUUAAUGAAUCAGUUUUCGCCGCUCGAUGCCAUGGCGUUCAACCGGUGGCUUUUAUAAUUCUCUCUGAAGGACGGAUCUUCAGGUCUAGUCGAGCGUCGUGGGAGAGUUACAGGUCAGAAAUCCCUCCUCUGUCCCGUGUGCUUUGGGGCUUUCACUCGCUCUCAUUGGCUGAGCUGCAUGCGAUGACAUCACUGCAUGAACCCCGACGGUCGCAUUUUAAACCUGCAUGUUUCUUUUUCCUCAUUUUGAUCUUUUGCUUGAGUUGGAAAUCCUGCUCGUCCAUCCCAAGUGAUUUUUUUUCUCCUUGGUUGUGUUCAGAUUUCUUUCCCCCAC
RNAcentral lists this long non-coding RNA (591 nucleotides) under Sinocyclocheilus anshuiensis. RNAcentral's name for it is "lncRNA (ENSSANG00000036279.1)". The record is from RNAcentral. Lineage: Eukaryota; Metazoa; Chordata; Actinopteri; Cypriniformes; Cyprinidae.